RNAcentral lists this long non-coding RNA (3410 nucleotides) under Sus scrofa (pig). Its description in RNAcentral is "lncRNA (ENSSSCG00005020466.1)". Lineage: Eukaryota; Metazoa; Chordata; Mammalia; Artiodactyla; Suidae. The record is from RNAcentral.
AGACGGGAGUGGCCCAGGAGGACUGAGCAGAGUUUGCAGAGGUGACAGAAGACAGCCUCGCGGCUGAGAGGGAGCUGACCAGGAGCUGGAAGCGUGCAGGUGGGGAGUUCCCGUCGUGGCGCAGUGGUUAACGAAUCCGAGUAGGAACCAUGAGGUUUCGGGUUCGAUCCCUGGCCUUGCUCAGUGGGCUAAGGAUCCGGCGUUGGCACGAGCUGUGGUGUAGGUCACAGACAGCUUGGAUCCCAUGUUGCUGUGGCUCUGGCAUAGGCUGGUGGCUACAGCUCUGAUUAGACCCCUAGCCUGGGAACCUCCGAUCCCAUGUUGCUGUGGCUCUGGCAUAGGCUGGAGACAGGGUUCUGCCAGCUCAGCCGAGCAUGGGCUGCAAAACGGGAGGACAGUGCUUCCCAGAGAAGGUGCUAGAGCAUGUCUGGCUGGGCGUGUCAGCUGACUCCAGCCACAUAACAAGUUACUCCAAACCUGGGCCACUCCAAUGCUGCUGCUCUCCCAUUGUCGGUGGGUCAGGAGUCUGGGCGCUGUCCCACUGGAUCUCUGGCUUCGGGGUCCCUCCCGGGCUGUGCCCCCGGUGUCCUUUGGGGCUGCUGUCUCAUCUGAGGGCUCCCUCCCCGUCACUGGCAGGAUUCAGCUCCUCCAGGGCUUUUGAACAGAGGGAGGGCCUCGGUCCCUCGCUGGAGGUUGGCUGGAGGCCUCACUCAGUCCGUGCCACGUGGUCCUCUCCCACGUGGCGGGUCCCACAAGGCCCUCUGCUUAUGCAAACGAGCAAGCCAAGGUCACAGAGUGUGUGUGGAGCAGAGAGGGAACCGCAGUCUUUUAGGCAAAUCUCACCGGUGACAUCCCAUCUCUUUUACCAUAUUCUGGUCCCUCGAGGGAGGUCCCCAGGCCCCGCCCACACGGAGGGGGCAUGGACCCCGGUGCGGGGAGAGGGUGGAGGCUGAUGGGGAGCCUGUCAAAGCUUCCCCCCAGCGGGAGAAGAGAUCCUCCGAGAGUGAGCUGCUGGUGUUUCUCUACCUGUGCCCUGCGAGUCCUCAAAAUAAAAUCAGGGGUGUUUCUGCAGAACCUGGGCUCACCAGAGAUGAGGGGCGUGUUGUGUCUGAGGUUGGGGUGCCUCCCGCGGGCCCCCCUGGGGCGGGGUUUCGGGAACUGGCUGCAGUGCUGGGAGCAAGGCGGGGCAGGGGGCACCCAUCCUGUUGCUGGAAAACAUCUCUGUGACCCCAGCCCUCGGCGCUGGCUGCAGUUAAGGCGAGAAGAGCCACUUGGCAGCAUCCUUCUGCUCUGCAGGUCCGGGGCUCUCUGGCGCCCUGGUCCAGGGCGCAGGGCUGGGACACCCCCAAGAAAGUGGCCCAGGUUGUCCAGGCCGCCUCCCCAUCAGUGCCCCUGGAACCCUGGCUGUCGGGGCCAGCUCCAUCUUUUGGGGUCUCCGUGCAAGAGCAGAGUCAACCUCGCCUUUCUUCGGGCCUCCCAGCCCAGCCCACUGCAGACGGUUCCAGGGGAUCCCAGCCUCCACCCCAGGACCCGCUGAGUUCCUGGGGUGUAAGAGGGACAGAUGGUCCCCAACACUGCCAUCUCAGGGCCCCGCUUCGACCCCCGUGGCCCCCAGGGGCCCGGGCCCUCACCAGUGGCCGUGGUGGAGGUGAUGACAGCAUGGGAGCCGCCCCACACCCCACGCACGCUGGCUGCUAAUCUGGGGCUGGGGGGCUGGACUGCUGCUCAGCCCAAGCUUCAAGCCCCCUGUCAUACUAUUGUCCCAUCUGACCUCACUUCGAAGACACAAAUCAAAAGAUGAAAUGAUGGGAGUUCCUAUCGUGGUGCAGCGGUUAACAAAUCUGACUGGUAUCCAUGAGGACGCAGGUUCGAUCCCUGGCCUUGCUCAGUGGAUUAAGGAUCCAGUGUUGCCGUGAGCUGUGACGUAGGUGCAGAUGCAGCUCGGAUCCUGCUUUGCUGUGGCUGUGGUGUAGACUAGCAGCGUAGCUCCGAUUCAACUCCUAGCCUGGAAACCUCCAUAUGCCACAGGUGCGUCCCUAAAAACCGAAAAAAAAAAAAAAAAAGAUUAAGAAUUUAAAGGCACUGACCACAGAGCGUUACAUUCCAAGCCCUAGACCCCUUGGAACGUGGGGCCCUGUUCUAGGGUCCUGCAGCCAGCGUAGCAAAUGACCACAGCUCGGUGGCUUAAAGCAACAGGCAUUUGUCCUCAGAAGUCCAGUAUCACGGAGCUGAAAUCAAGCUGGGCUGAGCCAGGAGGCUUGGGGUAGGGGAGGCUCUCUUGCAGCGUCUGGAGGCCUCUUGCAGCGUCUGAGGCUGCCCGCGCCCUUGGCUUGUGACCGCACGGCGCCAGUCUUCAGGGCCAGCAUCUGCACUUCUCUGCCCGCUCAUCUUCAUCUCCCCUCCGCGUGGCAGUGCCCUCCGCCCGCCUCUGGGGAGGCCGCGUGUGGUUGCGUUUAGACUUACCAGGGCCACGCGGGCUGCUCCCCCGAACCCAGAGCCUCAACCUCAUCGACCGGCAGAGGCUCCUUUUUUGCUCGCACCCCGCUAGCCGCACGCCCGAGAAGCAGCUCUGGUGCUUGUUCAGGGAUGGGUUAGACAUCGGAACCUCUGGCGGAUGUGUGUGAAGUCAGGACUCUGCUCGUGGAAGGCCUGGCUUCUGGAAGGUUCCAUGCUGCUGCUGGGAACCCUGCUCCAAGCCCCAGCUAUUCUGCUUGCUUCACGGCUGACCCAGGGGGGUGGGGUCAGACUGCUUAUUCCCAUGUCAAACCCCACAGGUUUUCGCGUGCGCUGCCCACUUGACUGUUGGUGGCUGUCACACUUCAGUGGGAUCCGUGAGGUAGCUGGGUCUCUGCCCCCCAGGGGUGCUGACCCUGGAGUGCGUGGCCAGGCCCUGGAAUCUGCAUAGUGACAAACACCACAGGGACAGUGUCCACGGGCGGGGGAAGGGGAGCCCCUAUUUUCUGAGGCCCCCAAGAGAGUGCAGUUGAAGCAGCGAGGCUGGGGGCACACCUGUGUCCCCAAGAGGACAUGCUCGUGGCAGCUGGGGUGUGGGAAACGAGGCCUCGCGGGGGCUGCGGAAGUGGGGAGAGGAGCUUCUGGUCCACGCAGGAGGAAGGCGGGGCCUCCCUGGGUCAUUGCUGGAGAGUGAUGUCACCCCGUCCCCAGCUGUCAUUCCCAAGCUCAUUCCCCCGGUUGCGUUUAGAGGGCCCUCUUUAAUCCUUGGCAUCAGUGACAGCAACGUGAUGGCACACGUCGGAUCCCAGGGGUCUGCACACUUCGCAGAGCCCGUAUCAAAUCGCUUCAACACACGCUUCCCAGAACACGUGUGUACCUGCUCCAUACGCGUGCCACUGCCCCAGCGGGCUGUGUACCUCUCCAGACUGACCCCAGAAUAGCAAUUUUAAAAGGAU